Molecule: non-coding RNA, 73 nt
Organism: Ixodes scapularis (black-legged tick)
Lineage: Eukaryota; Metazoa; Arthropoda; Arachnida; Ixodida; Ixodidae
Source: Rfam
CCCUGGUUAGCUCAGUUGGUAGAGCGCUCCACCUGUAAUGGAGAGGUCCCGGGUUCGAUACUCAGACCAGGCG